This 1137-nucleotide long non-coding RNA is filed under the name Triticum aestivum (bread wheat). RNAcentral's name for it is "long non-coding RNA (TAES_LNC006202)". Lineage: Eukaryota; Viridiplantae; Streptophyta; Magnoliopsida; Poales; Poaceae. The record is from RNAcentral.
UUUUUUUUGCGUAAAUGCAAUGCAAACAUGGUACGUAGGAAAUUUUCUGAGAAACGAAGUCCUACAAAAAUUCUUACGAAAUUUUAUUGAACCAAAGAGGCCACAAAAAUCUAACCAGAAAACUCUUUGGUCUAUUUUUCGAAACCCACGUCAGCGUUCCUCUCUCCUUUUCGAGGGAAAGGUACGGCACUAGCUGGCAUGGGGCGCUCCUCCUCUUUACCCGAAAGGAGCGGACCGGGGCGGCCCCAUCGCACGCCCGAUCGCCAGCGGGCGCGGGAGCAGCGCAGACGACAGCCAAUCCCAACGCCCCCUCCAACGCUAGGCUCACAGCCCAGCCGGUAGCCAGCCCCACACCCCCAUCGCACACCCCACCCCACUGGCGUGUGUGUUGCCUCGCUGCCACGCCCGGCCGGCGGGUGACUGGUGGGCGUGCCGGAUGGGCAGGGAGACCGGCCGUACUCCUCCACCACGCCUGCCAUCGCCGUGCCCCCACCCCUCAUGCACCUCGUCCUCCUGCCCCGCUGUGCCGUGCGUUCCCUGUUGCUCCCCUUCGCAGGUCCUUUUCCUUCGAAAAAUAUUAAGGGCGACCUUGCUUGCAGGGUUGCCUUGACCAGUUGCUCCUCCAAGCAUCCAAAGGCCAGGCCAAGCUUUUGUUCAUCUGAAAAUCACACUUGUAGACACUCGUUUCGGCUAGUACUAUAUGCAAAAGCAGGUCGCGUGGCAAUGAUACCUUGCAGACAAAAAUGCUUUGGGUUUUGGUUUAUCCUCUGCGGAAUCACGGGUUCAUGUCUGUCAGUCUCAAUCGCAAAUGAGUACUACCAGUUCAUCUUUUCACUCGUUGCAAAAGGACUCGUUCUACAAAGGUCAAACUCGAAAUGGAGUAGUAGUAGAUCACAAAGGCUCUCAGUUUGAUUUGAUUCAUAGAGGGAAACAGCUAGCAAAGGAGGCUAAAAGUGGAGUAGCCAACUAAAAAAUCACAACCACACCACACUGCCGCUCACAAAAAAAAGAAAGUGAUCCGAACCAACUACUAACCCAUCGCCAAAAUCGAACUACCACCCGCCGCAAGCAACUAAAGAACCGGCUAAAUCGUCUUCUACAUUCUCGGCUACUUUGUACAGUUUGCUCGUCGGAAUG